GAAGGCCUUAUGACAAUGAAUGCUCUCUCCCUGCACAAAGAACUGAUAUAGUCUAAAUGUAGAUCAAACUUUAUUUUUUACUUUUUUUAUUUAUGUGUGUUUUUAUUUGGAGGUUUUGGCUUUAUCGACAUGGUCUUCAUGGUGAGGCAAAUGCAGGAAAAAUGCCUUGAGCAGAACCUGAGCCUCUACAUUGUCUUCAUAGACCUGACAAAGGCGUUCGACACAGUGAACAGGGACACAUUGUGGGCGAUCCUUAGCAAGCUCGGUUGCCCAACAAAAUUCGUCAAACUGAUCCAGCUCUUUCAUGUCGACAUGACAGGGGAAGUCCUAUCUGGUGGAGAGACUUCCGAUCGCUUCAACAUCUCCAAUGGUGUGAAACAAGGCUGUGUCCUCGCUCCGGUACUAUUCAACCUAUACUUCACCCAAGUAUUACGACAUGCUGUGAUGGAUCUAGACCUGGGCGUCUACAUCAAAUACCGACUAGAUGGCUCACUAUUCGACCUUCGCCACCUGACUGCAAAAACAAAGACAACAGAGAGACUCAUCGUGGAAGCUCUCUUCACAGAUGACUGUGCUCUCAUGGCCCACCAAGAAAAUCAUCUCCAAACCAUUGUGGACAGGUUCUCCACCGCAACAAAACUGUUUGGCCUGACUAUCAGCCUCAGCAAAACAGAGGUGCUGUUCCAACCUGCACCAGGGAGGCCAACGAACCAGCCGUGCAUUACAAUCGACGGCACGCAGCUUUCUAAUGUCAACACUUUCAAGUACCUGGGCAGCACCAUUGCCAACGACGGGUCCCUAGACCAUGAGAUCAAUGCCAGGAUCCAAAAGGCCAGCCAGGCACUCGGGUGGCUGUGCUGCAAAGUCCUCCAACACAGAGAUGUAAGCACUGCGACGAAGCUCAAAGUGUAUAAUGCAGUGGUCCUCAGCUCGCUCCUGUAUGGUUGCGAGACAUGGACACUGUACAGGAAGCACAUGAAACAGCUGGAGCAAUUCCACCAACGCUCCCUCCGGUCAAUCAUGAGGAUCCGAUGGCAGGACCGAAUCACCAAUCAGGAAGUCCUCGACAGAGCCAACUCCACCAGCAUCGAAGUCCUGGUCCUCAAAACCCAGCUACAAUGGUCUGGACACGUCAUCCGCAUGGACCCACAGCGAUUACCAAGACAGGUAUUCUACGGUGAACUGUCAGCUGGACUCAGGAAACAAGGCCGACCAAGAAAAGAUUCAAGGAUCAGCUAAAGUCCAACUUGAAGUGGGCUGGCAUUACACCAAAGCAACUAGAACUCGCUGCCUCUGACAGAAGCAGCUGGCGAACCCACAUUCACCAUGCCGCCACCACCUUUGAAGAUGAGCGAUGUCAACGUCUUGC
Long non-coding RNA from Monodelphis domestica (gray short-tailed opossum), 1369 nucleotides. The record is from Ensembl. NCBI's taxonomy places the organism in Eukaryota, Metazoa, Chordata, Mammalia, Didelphimorphia, Didelphidae.